AUACAACUGACGAGUCCUAGAUUCUACUGCUAACCACUACUCAUCUUUGCUUACAAGUCUAUGUUUAUUUCUAUAUUCCACUUAACAAGUCCUUGAUAGAACGAAAUGCUCAUCCUGGAU
Molecule: non-coding RNA, 120 nt
Filed under: Schistosoma margrebowiei
Lineage: Eukaryota; Metazoa; Platyhelminthes; Trematoda; Strigeidida; Schistosomatidae
Source: RNAcentral